This 564-nucleotide ribosomal RNA is filed under the name uncultured Glomeromycotina. RNAcentral describes it as "SSU rRNA". It matches the Rfam family "Eukaryotic small subunit ribosomal RNA", at positions 548 to 1114 of the family's 1831-position model. The record is from RNAcentral. Lineage: Eukaryota; Fungi; Glomeromycota.
UUGGAGGGCAAGUCUGGUGCCAGCAGCCGCGGUAAUUCCAGCUCCAAUAGCGUAUAUUAAAGUUGUUGCAGUUAAAAAGCUCGUAGUUGAAUUUCGGGAUCAGAUUGUCGGUCGUGCCUCGGUACGCACUGGUAUUAUUGGUUCCUACCUUCUGAAGAACCGCGAUGUCAUUAAUUUGGUGUCGUGGGGAAUCAGGACUGUUACUUUGAAAAAAUUAGAGUGUUUAAAGCAGGCUUACGCUUGAAUACAUUAGCGUGGAAUAAUGAAAUAGGACGUUUGAUUCUAUUUUGUUGGUUUCUAGGAUUGACGUAAUGAUUAAUAGGGAUAGUGGGGGGCAUUAGUAUUCAAUUGUCAGAGGUGAAAUUCUUGGAUUUAUUGAAGACUAACUACUGCGAAAGCAUUUGCCAAGGAUGUUUUCAUUAAUCAAGAACGAAAGUUAGGGGAUCGAAGACGAUCAGAUACCGUCGUAGUCUUAACCAUAAGCUAUGCCGACUAGGGAUCGGAUGAUGUUAAUUCUUUAAUGACUCAUUCGGCGCCUUACGGGAAACCAAAGUGUUUGGGUUC